RNAcentral lists this ribosomal RNA (427 nucleotides) under uncultured bacterium. RNAcentral's name for it is "bacterial SSU rRNA". It matches the Rfam family "Bacterial small subunit ribosomal RNA", at positions 354 to 796 of the family's 1533-position model. The record is from RNAcentral.
GUGGGGAAUAUUGCACAAUGGGGGAAACCCUGAUGCAGCGACGCCGCGUGAAGGAAGAAGUAUCUCGGUAUGUAAACUUCUAUCAGCAGGGAAGAAAACAGACGGUACCUGACUAAGAAGCCCCGGCUAACUACGUGCCAGCAGCCGCGGUAAUACGUAGGGGGCAAGCGUUAUCCGGAUUUACUGGGUGUAAAGGGGGCGCAGACGGCCAUGGCAAGCCCGGUGUGAAAGGCAGGGGCAUAACCCCUGGACUGCACUGGGAACUGUCAGGCUGGAGUGCCGGAGGGGUAAGCGGAAUUCCUGGUGUAGCGGUGAAAUGCGUAGAUAUCAGGAGGAACACCGGCGGCGAAGGCGGCUUACUGGACGGCAACUGACGUUGAGGCCCGAAAGCGUGGGGAGCGAACAGGAUUAGAAACCCUAGUAGUCC